This 618-nucleotide ribosomal RNA is filed under the name Trametes versicolor. RNAcentral's name for it is "eukaryotic LSU rRNA". It matches the Rfam family "Eukaryotic large subunit ribosomal RNA", at positions 49 to 651 of the family's 3401-position model. The record is from RNAcentral. Lineage: Eukaryota; Fungi; Basidiomycota; Agaricomycetes; Polyporales; Polyporaceae.
AGCGGAGGAAAAGAAACUAACAAGGAUUCCCCUAGUAACUGCGAGUGAAGCGGGAAAAGCUCAAAUUUAAAAUCUGGCGGUCUUUGGCCGUCCGAGUUGUAGUCUGGAGAAGCGUCUUCCGCGUUGGACCGUGUACAAGUCUCUUGGAACAGAGCGUCAUAGAGGGUGAGAAUCCCGUCUUUGACACGGACUACCAAUGCUUUGUGAUGCGCUCUCAAAGAGUCGCGUUGUUUGGGAAUGCAGCGCAAAAUGGGAGGUGAAUUCCUUCUAAAGCUAAAUAUUGGCGAGAGACCGAUAGCGAACAAGUACCGUGAGGGAAAGAUGAAAAGCACUUUGGAAAGAGAGUUAAACAGUACGUGAAAUUGCUAAAAGGGAAACGCUUGAAGUCAGUCGCGUCGUCCGGAACUCAGCUUUGCUUCGGCUUAGUGCACUUUCCGGUUGACGGGCCAGCAUCGAUUUUGACCGCUGGAAAAGGGCUGGAGGAAUGUGGCACCUUCGGGUGUGUUAUAGCCUUCAGUCGCAUACAGCGGUUGGGAUCGAGGAACGCAGCGCGCCUUAUGGCUGGGGUUCGCCCACAUUCGCGCUUAGGAUGCUGGCAUAAUGGCUUUAAACGACCCG